This 253-nucleotide ribosomal RNA is filed under the name uncultured bacterium. RNAcentral's name for it is "partial 16S ribosomal RNA". It matches the Rfam family "Bacterial small subunit ribosomal RNA", at positions 524 to 776 of the family's 1533-position model. The record is from RNAcentral.
UACGUAGGGUGCGAGCGUUGUCCGGAAUUACUGGGCGUAAAGAGCUCGUAGGUGGUUUGUCGCGUUGUUCGUGGAAUCUCACGGCUUAACUGUGAGCGUGCGGGCGAUACGGGCAGACUUGAGUACUGCAGGGGAGACUGGAAUUCCUGGUGUAGCGGUGGAAUGCGCAGAUAUCAGGAGGAACACCGGUGGCGAAGGCGGGUCUCUGGACAGUUCCUGACGCUGAGGCACGAAGGUCAGGGGAGCAAACGGG